UUCGCGGAGGGUGAUGGAGUUCACCCGACGAUUGGACCGCCCCUCGCGGGGCUGAUGACUCCUACCUGGAG
RNAcentral lists this non-coding RNA (71 nucleotides) under Planctomycetales bacterium. RNAcentral's name for it is "Fluoride sequence". It matches the Rfam family "Fluoride riboswitch aptamer (crcB RNA motif)". Lineage: Bacteria; Pseudomonadati; Planctomycetota; Planctomycetia; Planctomycetales. The record is from RNAcentral.